CCUACGGGGGACAGCAGUGAGGAAUAUUGGUCAAUGGGCGCGAGCCUGAACCAGCCAAGUCGCGUGAGGGAAGACGGUCCUAUGGAUUGUAAACCUCUUUUGUCGGGGAGCAAAAGACGCCACGCGUGGCGUUCCGAGAGUACCCGAAGAAAAAGCAUCGGCUAACUCCGUGCCAGCAGCCGCGGUAAUACGGAGGAUGCGAGCGUUAUCCGGAUUUAUUGGGUUUAAAGGGUGCUUAGGUUGUUUUUUAAGUCAGCGGUGAAAGUUUGUGGCUCAACCAUAAAAUUGCCGUUGAAACUGGAAGACUUGAGUGUGUUUGAGGUAGGCGGAAUGCGUGGUGUAGCGGUGAAAUGCAUAGAUAUCACGCAGAACUCCGAUUGCGAAGGCAGCUUACUAAGCCAUAACUGACACUGAAGCACGAAAGCGUGGGGAUCAAACAGGAUUAGAUACCCUUGUAGUC
RNAcentral lists this ribosomal RNA (460 nucleotides) under uncultured bacterium. RNAcentral's name for it is "partial 16S ribosomal RNA". It matches the Rfam family "Bacterial small subunit ribosomal RNA", at positions 338 to 795 of the family's 1533-position model. The record is from RNAcentral.